RNAcentral lists this ribosomal RNA (162 nucleotides) under Croton cordiifolius. RNAcentral describes it as "5.8S ribosomal RNA". It matches the Rfam family "5.8S ribosomal RNA". From Rfam's summary of the family: 5.8S ribosomal RNA (5.8S rRNA) is a component of the large subunit of the eukaryotic ribosome. It is transcribed by RNA polymerase I as part of the 45S precursor that also contains 18S and 28S rRNA. Lineage: Eukaryota; Viridiplantae; Streptophyta; Magnoliopsida; Malpighiales; Euphorbiaceae. The record is from RNAcentral.
AACGACUCUCGGCAACGGAUAUCUCGGCUCUCGCAUCGAUGAAAAACGCAGCGAAAUGCGAUACUUGGUGUGAAUUGCAGAAUCCCGUGAACCAUCGAGUUUUUGAACGCAAGUUGCGCCCAAAGCCUUUUGGCCGAGGGCACGUCUGCCUGGGUGUCACGC